This is a long non-coding RNA of Symphalangus syndactylus (siamang), 732 nucleotides long. RefSeq lists it as uncharacterized. The record is from RefSeq and is a predicted model, not a curated record. NCBI's taxonomy places the organism in Eukaryota, Metazoa, Chordata, Mammalia, Primates, Hylobatidae.
GAGAUGAUACAUUCAGAGUGUUUAGCACAGUGCCUGACACAUAAGAAGCCCUUGUUUCAUUUGGUAUUAACUCAAUUAAAAUACAUUCUCAAUGGAGUAGGUUAUCUUGAAGCUCUGUUUGCUUGAUCGCCUGGGGAAGGGGGUGUGGGUGGCACACAGGAAAGGGUGAAGAACCGAGUGUCUGUCUGAAGGUGAUGAUUAUUUCAGAUCGGCAUUGUCCUUGUCUAAGUUGUAAUCAACAGGCCUUCACAAUGCCAGGAAAGAGUGAUGUAGCUGACUGUCAUCACAAGACGCUGCUCCUCCUGGGCAUGGCUGGUCUCUGACGAAGAAGCUACACCCAUUUCCACAAUAUGGAUGUAGAACAAACCAGUAUUUCAUUUAUUAAAACAAGGCAGGAAGAGAAGCUGUAAUCCAUUCUCUCUCAUGCGUAUCUAACAGGCAAGCUUUGGACAUGGCCUGUGAGUCUUUUCCUGGACCACGUAGGUUCCACUUCCUGCCUCCCAAAGGAUCUACGAAGGAGGGAAACUUUACUGCUAGGAAGUCUUCAGCCGGGGGGCAAGGAGGACCCCUGAGCCAAGGGUCCCACAGUCAGGUUUCACAGUCCAUCUGCUGUGCUUUAAACGCUGGUAAAGUUACCAGUCAUAUAAACGAUGGCCCAACACAUUAACAUGUAGCUUCCAAAAACAAUUACUGUCUACUCAUCAAUUUAGGUAAACUAUGUAUGAAGGAGAA